AGGGAAUCAGGAAGUCCAGAGCACUGAGGCAGGAGUGAGCCCGCAGGCUUCAGAAAGAUCAGUUAGUCCAGUCCAGCCCUGCUAGACAGUGCUGGAAGGAGAAGCAGCAGAAGAGGAGACUGGAAACUGGCAGGAUGGGCCACCACGGGCUCUGGCUCUUACUUAUGGGAGCUGCUGGGGCGCGGGAGCUGAGGAGCGCUGGUCUGGAAAGGCUCCCUCUGGCUGUGUGCAGAGAAAGGGCCGCACAGAUGGAAGGUGUGUACCACCGGGAUACUCCUGCCUCCCUCCGGGUGUGUACCUCAGUCCUACAAGGUGUUGCAAUGAUGCUCGCUUUGUGGAAGACAUCGUAACAUCGUAGAUCCUGAAGGUGAAGCACUGCUCUGAGACACAUGCCAGAAGCCAUUCACUCCUCACUUGCACGCUGGUGACCCUGCUCUUCUUGUGUAUGCAGAAGAGAAACUGUAGGCUGGCCCAGCUCAGAAUCUGGCACACCAAAAUAAACCUGACCUUAAAAACCUUCAUUCCCAUCUUCUACCUGCCUUCCCCUCCCCCCUCACACACUAAUCUACAUUCCAGUAAGAAAGAGGCCAGUCAGCCAGGGAUCCUAUGAGAGUCUGGGAGGGGUUGGACCUGAUGAUAUCCAGUCCAAGGAAGCUGGAAGAAAUUCGUGUGCAGCCGUGCCCAGGAAUAAACAUUCAGUAGCCAUUCGGUCCACAGGCUAAACCAGUUGUGUCCUCUGCGUGCCCUGGGUUUCAGUCACCUGCCUACGACCAACGGUGACCCCACCUAGCUCUUACCCUCCUUGAAGCUGACUUUCUCUGAGCUCAGAGUAAAUAGACUCAGCCCCUCCCAACAAUGGCAUGUCUCCAGUCCCCAGGCUGGGCCUGCAGAACUGGAAGAGACCUUUUCAGCCACUUUACCAACGUCCUUCUUUAGCUCAGUGGUUGGAUGCACUCAUAUCAGCAAAGGCUACCCGUCUGACCUACAGUUUUUAAUGUUGCAGAAGUCACUCGUCUGCAGCGGCAGAAUCCUCCAGGGCCUUACAGAAUCUCGGAUCCCUGGAGCCAGAAGCUGUUUACGGGUCCCUUAGUCAUUGUUUUGGCAUUUGCAGGUCCAAGUCCCCUGUUAUAAAGCAGAGUGGCCCCCCACAUCCUACCUGACAUUUUCUCCUGGCAAUACUUGUUUUAAAUUUUCUACUAAUUUUUUUUUUAAAAAGAAAUAAUAUAUCUUUAUCACGUUCUUCCCCUCCCCCAGCUUCCUGACCCUUCACACUAUCUUCCUACCCACCCAACUUCCCGUUCUUUCUCUCUUACCACCCUCCCCCACCCCA
RNAcentral lists this long non-coding RNA (1330 nucleotides) under Mus pahari (shrew mouse). RNAcentral's name for it is "lncRNA (MGP_PahariEiJ_G0005592.1)". Lineage: Eukaryota; Metazoa; Chordata; Mammalia; Rodentia; Muridae. The record is from RNAcentral.